AUGUGGAAGAAGAUGGGUAGGAGAAGCAAUGGUAGAGAAAGUAGCAAUGGUCAGAUUAGUGGCGCAAGACCCCAUCUGCGGCGUACACGAAGGGGGUCAACUUUGACUCAAAGUGAUGUGGCGCCUCACAGCAUCAGCAGGUUGCAACAUCAACAAAAGGCGCUGUACCUCCGUUGGUGGCAUGUAACAUUUGCCAUCUCAAUCAGAAUCAUGUCUCUGGACAGUUUGUUACAAGGCUCCUAUCCCCCUUGGAAACUGCAUGCCAGAACUGAAAAAAAGAGCUAUCAUUUCUCUCAACCACUCUCAUGA
Molecule: ribosomal RNA, 309 nt
Filed under: Triticum aestivum (bread wheat)
Lineage: Eukaryota; Viridiplantae; Streptophyta; Magnoliopsida; Poales; Poaceae
Description: partial small subunit ribosomal RNA
Source: RNAcentral